UACGUAGGUGACCAGCGUUGUCCGGAUUUACUGGGCGUAAAGAGCUCGUAGGCGGUCUGUCGCGUCGAAUGUGAAAACCCGGGGCUCAACCCCGGGCCUGCAUUCGAUACGGGCAGACUAGAGUUCGGUAGGGGAGUCUGGAAUUCCUGGUGUAGCGGUGAAAUGCGCAGAUAUCAGGAGGAACACCGGUGGCGAAGGCGGGACUCUGGGCCGAUACUGACGCUGAGGAGCGAAAGCGUGGGGAGCAAACAGG
This 253-nucleotide ribosomal RNA is filed under the name uncultured bacterium. RNAcentral describes it as "partial 16S ribosomal RNA". It matches the Rfam family "Bacterial small subunit ribosomal RNA", at positions 524 to 776 of the family's 1533-position model. The record is from RNAcentral.